RNAcentral lists this ribosomal RNA (397 nucleotides) under uncultured bacterium. RNAcentral describes it as "partial 16S ribosomal RNA". It matches the Rfam family "Bacterial small subunit ribosomal RNA", at positions 523 to 918 of the family's 1533-position model. The record is from RNAcentral.
AUACGUAGGGGGCGAGCGUUGUCCGGAAUGAUUGGGCGUAAAGGGCGCGUAGGCGGCCCGGUAAGUCUGGAGUGAAAGUCCUGUUUUUAAGAUGGGAAUUGCUUUGGAUACUGUCGGGCUUGAGUGCAGGAGAGGUAAGUGGAAUUCCCAGUGUAGCGGUGAAAUGCGUAGAGAUUGGGAGGAACAUCAGUGGCGAAGGCGACUUACUGGACUGUAACUGACGCUGAGGCGCGAAAGUGUGGGGAGCAAACAGGAUUAGAUACCCUGGUAGUCCACACUGUAAACGAUGAAUGCUAGGUGUAGGGGGUAUCGACCCCUUCUGUGCCGCAGUCAACACAAUAAGCAUUCCGCCUGGGGAGUACGGCCGCAAGGUUGAAACUUAAAGGAAUUGACGGGG